Long non-coding RNA from Polypterus senegalus (gray bichir), 1075 nucleotides. RefSeq lists it as uncharacterized. The transcript is spliced from 4 exons. The record is from RefSeq and is a predicted model, not a curated record. NCBI's taxonomy places the organism in Eukaryota, Metazoa, Chordata, Cladistia, Polypteriformes, Polypteridae.
GUAUUAAACAGUACAGGGUCCAAAGCAGGAGCCCAUCCUGGAAGGGAUGCCAGGAAUAAUGGCUGAAUAUACAAUAUUCUUACAGGAUAGUGAUCUCCCAGACUGCCAUCAUAAUUGGAAAAUUGGGCAUCCUCUUACCAGUACAAAAACAACACACAUCUGAUCACUCAAGAAAAUAUCUACAUGUGAAUUGAAUCCACACAAGGAAAUCCUGCCUGACUGUGCUGAUCUCACUACCGGUUCCAGUUCUCCUGACGUCACUACUGGUUCUGCACCUCAGAGACACACUCCUUCCUUCCUGUCAACCCACUAUAUAUUGAUUAAUAUACCUCAGUUCUGUUUUGAACUCAGUCUGUAAAGAUCAAUAUGACUUCUUUAUUUUUUCCUUUUUUUCAAGUAUACAGAGUAUUUACCCCAAAUCUUCAUAUUUCUAUUUGUGAUUAUUUCCAUGGCCCAUUUGCUCAUUAUCUAAGCCCAUAGUGCCUCAGGCACAACAACCCUUUCUCACUCAAUUCCUAAACCCUCUCCUAUACUUGCUCUGUAUUCUUGGCUCACAGUUUCUUGUUGCCCCAAUUCUACCUCUCUACUCCGAGCUCAGUCAGCCUAUAACAAGGAACAGUCAGCUGAAUAAGUUUCAGGGUCAGGAAUGCCCUCAGAUAGACCUGGCACUAUCCCCCUGGUGGCUCCAGAUAUCUGUGCAGUCUUUAGCAUCACUUAAAAUGCUUCUAGAAUACUGUUUGAAAAUAGAUUGUAUAUUGUCCUAGGACACAGUUUACCUACAUGAUUUAUUAUAGGUUAUUCCUUUGUUUUCUUGUUAAUUAACAAUCAUAUUUUUAUACCCACUUUACAGGUAAACUCUUUUUAAUGGUAUGCAGCGGUCUCAAUGAUUCUAGCACUUUUUAAAGCAGCGCCUAACAUGGGGUCAAGGUCAAUGAAUGUGACUAACUUGUGCUCCUGGAGAAGAAAUGACAGCCAUCUCACGUUUGAUAUAAAAUGAGUUGGAUCCAAGACCUGGAGUUCAAUACUUCAAUGUGAGUCUGUCUAAUUAAUAUAACUAGAAAAUGGAAAAUAAGAA